CGUAUAAAAUAUAAAUAUUUGUGUAAAAUUAAUAUAGGCAGUAAAGUUGUUAAAAAGGGAUACAUUUAUUACUCAAAUAAGUUAGACAGCAUGACAGUAAAACCAAACCAUAACAGUGAAACAGAAGAUUAUGAGUAUUAGCCACGAUAUAACUCAUGAAGGAGGGAGAACCUAGAGAACGAACCUAUGGAACGAGAGACGAAGUUGGUCAUAAAUAGAACAGGAGCGAUGAGAUAUUGGGCAGAUUCUCCGGUCGCUGCUUGCUCCUCAUACCCACCCAGAAACUCUGCCGUGUGUCUGCU
Molecule: long non-coding RNA, 302 nt
Organism: Leguminivora glycinivorella
Lineage: Eukaryota; Metazoa; Arthropoda; Insecta; Lepidoptera; Tortricidae
Exons: 3
Source: RefSeq, a predicted model, not a curated record